GAUGAACGCUGGCGGCGCGCCUAAUACAUGCAAGUCGAGCGAACAGACGAGGAGCUUGCUCCUCUGACGUUAGCGGCGGACGGGUGAGUAACACGUGGAUAACCUACCUAUAAGACUGGGAUAACUUCGGGAAACCGGAGCUAAUACCGGAUAAUAUAUUGAACCGCAUGGUUCAAUAGUGAAAGACGGUUUUGCUGUCACUUAUAGAUGGAUCCGCGCCGCAUUAGCUAGUUGGUAAGGUAACGGCUUACCAAGGCAACGAUGCGUAGCCGAUCUGAGAGGGUGAUCGGCCACACUGGAACUGAGACACGGUCCAGACUCCUACGGGAGGCAGCAGUAGGGAAUCUUCCGCAAUGGGCGAAAGCCUGACGGAGCAACGCCGCGUGAGUGAUGAAGGUCUUCGGAUCGUAAAACUCUGUUAUUAGGGAAGAACAAAUGUGUAAGUAACUAUGCACGUCUUGACGGUACCUAAUCAGAAAGCCACGGCUAACUACGUG
This 497-nucleotide ribosomal RNA is filed under the name uncultured bacterium. Its description in RNAcentral is "partial 16S ribosomal RNA". It matches the Rfam family "Bacterial small subunit ribosomal RNA", at positions 28 to 507 of the family's 1533-position model. The record is from RNAcentral.